RNAcentral lists this ribosomal RNA (279 nucleotides) under uncultured archaeon. RNAcentral describes it as "partial 16S rRNA". It matches the Rfam family "Archaeal small subunit ribosomal RNA", at positions 1047 to 1325 of the family's 1478-position model. The record is from RNAcentral.
GAGACCCGUACCCACAGUUGCCAGCGGCUGCUCCGGCAGGCUGGGUACACUAUGGGGACCGCCUCUGCUAAAGAGGAGGAAGGAGCGGGCGACGGUAGGUCAGUAUGCCCCGAAUUCUCCGGGCUACACGCGGGCUACAAUGGAUGGGACAAUGGGCUCCGACACCGAAAGGUGAAGGCAAUCUCUUAAACCCAUCCUUAGUUCGGAUUGUGGGCUGCAACUCGCCCACAUGAAGCUGGAAUCUGUAGUAAUCGUGUCUCAACAUGGCACGGUGAAUAU